GGGAAAGUGGCUCAGUGGUAGAGUGCUUGCCUUGCAUGCAUGAAGCCCUGGGUUUGAUUCCUCAGCACCA
This is a non-coding RNA of Dipodomys ordii (Ord's kangaroo rat), 70 nucleotides long. NCBI's taxonomy places the organism in Eukaryota, Metazoa, Chordata, Mammalia, Rodentia, Heteromyidae. The record is from Rfam.